Molecule: signal recognition particle RNA, 97 nt
Filed under: Aquirhabdus parva
Lineage: Bacteria; Pseudomonadati; Pseudomonadota; Gammaproteobacteria; Moraxellales; Moraxellaceae
Description: Bacterial small signal recognition particle RNA
Rfam family: Bacterial small signal recognition particle RNA
About the family: The signal recognition particle (SRP) is a universally conserved ribonucleoprotein involved in the co-translational targeting of proteins to membranes. Archaeal SRP consists of a 7S RNA and homologues of the eukaryotic SRP19 and SRP54 proteins. In most bacteria, the SRP consists of a 4.5S RNA and the Ffh protein (a homologue of the eukaryotic SRP54 protein).
Source: Rfam by way of RNAcentral
UGCUGGUUACUUCGCAAUGUCACUUUGUAAACCCCGCCAGGACCGGAAGGUAGCAACGGUAGCAAUUAUGACAUGUGCCGAAGCUUUGCUAGUGGGG